UCUGAGGUCGCCAAGUGGUAAGGCAGCGGGUUUUGGUCCCGCCAUUCGUGGGUUCGAAUCCUACUCUCAGAA
RNAcentral lists this transfer RNA (72 nucleotides) under Synechococcus phage S-PM2. It matches the Rfam family "tRNA". From Rfam's summary of the family: Transfer RNA (tRNA) molecules are approximately 80 nucleotides in length. Their secondary structure includes four short double-helical elements and three loops (D, anti-codon, and T loops). Lineage: Duplodnaviria; Heunggongvirae; Uroviricota; Caudoviricetes; Pantevenvirales; Kyanoviridae. The record is from Rfam by way of RNAcentral.